GUUUAAACCAUUAGAAUUGGGAACAUGAAAUAAGAACAUCAAAGUUUUUCCAUAAUUUGAAUUUACAGUCUGUCUGAGAACAUUUAAUCCCAAAGAAAAAUUGGCUUCUUAGACCACUAGCUUAAUAGUUGAGAGUGUGAAAUUGCCAACAUGAUUGGGCAGUGUUAAAGGCCACACUUCUAAUGCUCAUAUUCUUUGCACACAGGCACACAUCUGAAAACCACGUGCAUACCACUGGACACUGUUUCAUAAUGAAAAGCUGCAAUUAAAAAUAUUUCUUCUUGCAGGGAUGACCUUAAAGAGAGGCACAAAGCCACAAUCUGCCUGGGAUUUUUACUUUCCUGUUACAGCCAUCAGAACGGAGAGAGGAAGGGAGAACAGAAGGGAGCAAGCCAGGAGCUUUAUAUGGUUUAAACAUCUGUUCCCUCAGAGUCGUUCCAUGCCUGCCUGCCUUAUUAGAGGGUUUGGUGCUGGAGUCCUCUGACUGAACGCCAGAGUCCUUCCCUUUGUUUUUCCCAGUGACGUACACAAGAACUUUGAGGUGGUGUAAGAACAGAGGGAUUCGUGGCUAAUAAAUACUUCAUCUAGUUGGGUGAGUGUUUGAGC
This 606-nucleotide long non-coding RNA is filed under the name Coturnix japonica (Japanese quail). RNAcentral describes it as "lncRNA (ENSCJPG00005011881.1)". The record is from RNAcentral. Lineage: Eukaryota; Metazoa; Chordata; Aves; Galliformes; Phasianidae.